This 112-nucleotide ribosomal RNA is filed under the name Treponema sp. The record is from RNAcentral. Lineage: Bacteria; Pseudomonadati; Spirochaetota; Spirochaetia; Treponematales; Treponemataceae.
ACCAGUGACCAUAGCACAGUGGAAAUACCCGUUCCCAUACCGAACACGGAAGUCAAGCACUGUAGCGCCGAUGAUACUUGGUUCGUCCCGGGAAAGCAGGCAGUUGCUGGUU